RNAcentral lists this non-coding RNA (24 nucleotides) under Cricetulus griseus (Chinese hamster). Lineage: Eukaryota; Metazoa; Chordata; Mammalia; Rodentia; Cricetidae. The record is from RNAcentral.
AGCAGAUCAAGAGCCGGGUGGUAG